Molecule: non-coding RNA, 26 nt
Filed under: Gallus gallus (chicken)
Lineage: Eukaryota; Metazoa; Chordata; Aves; Galliformes; Phasianidae
Also listed under: 4 other names
Source: RNAcentral
UUUCGUACGUAGCAGAGCAGCUCCCU